CGUAAUUUCUAAGGGCAACCAUUUUGGAAAUGGCGCUGACUUCCCUUUUCGCUUUUUGUCCCAGGCUUCCGUCACCGCUGCGCGUGAGUCUAAAAAUAGACUAACGGCUUGUUCCAACCGGCAUUUCGUUGACGCUCUCUGCCUUUCGGGUUUACUUGACAUAUUGGAAAAUUUUUUGGCGGACGAUAUUUAUUAAUUUAGUUUUUCUUUCUUCGGAAUAUUGCUGUCAAAAAUAGAGUCUGUGGUCUUGCAGCUCUUUGAUAGAAAUCUGAGUGAGAAAUCAUUCAGCCAUCGGAAUCACGGUUAGAUCUUUCUGAUAAGUGACAGUACUUUAAGUGAUCAUAAUUAUUUACCUAAUUAUUAAUUAUAGACUACUUUUAAUUAUAGAUCUACCUAUUUAGUGUUAAGUAAUUAAAUGUAGAUCUAGUUCUAACUUACUUCUACUCUAAACUCUAAACAAUAGUAACUUUUUACUAGACUCACAAUUUUAAAAACAAAUGGUUUUUUUGUGUGUGAAAUAAACCUAGUAGGCCUAGUCUAUUUAUUUUAAAAUAAACUUUAUGCCUAGAUAUCAAUAUCUAAAUUUUCCAAAUGCAUUUUCAGAAGUUCGAAUGAGGAGAUGGAGAUGGCUGGGCCAUGUCCUACGCAUGAGCAAAAGAUGACUCCCCCAACAUGGCACUGGAAAACGAAAGAGGGGAAGACCACUGGGAACAUGGAGGAGAGAGAUGGAAGAAGAAGUGCAAGCUGCUGGCAAGACCUGGCAUGAACUAAAGUGGCUCGCCCAGGACAGAGUGGAAUGGCAGGGAUUUGUUGCUGCCCUAUACUCCACAGGGAGUGAUGAGGAUUAAAGAAAGCAGACACAGAUCCAGUGUUGGAAGAGGAAGUAUUUUAUAUAAAAGAAAAAAAAACAACAGAUGUCAAAGCAGGUAUUGGCUGGUGCAGAAACAGCAUGAAAGGAUUUUUGUAUCUUUUCUGGACUGAUGACUUUCAUUCAACCUGAUCAUUUUUUAAUUUGCAUCAACUAAAACAUGUUAUA
Physella acuta is the source of this 1036-nucleotide long non-coding RNA. RefSeq lists it as uncharacterized. The record is from RefSeq and is a predicted model, not a curated record. Lineage: Eukaryota; Metazoa; Mollusca; Gastropoda; Physidae.